AAUUCGGUAGUCUAACUCCGUAGGAUGUAAGUUUUGGGGACUUGAGGUCUCUGGUUUGAGAGUCGGUUGAG
RNAcentral lists this transfer RNA (71 nucleotides) under Eurytrema pancreaticum. RNAcentral's name for it is "tRNA-Pro". The record is from RNAcentral. Lineage: Eukaryota; Metazoa; Platyhelminthes; Trematoda; Plagiorchiida; Dicrocoeliidae.